This 437-nucleotide ribosomal RNA is filed under the name uncultured bacterium. RNAcentral describes it as "partial 16S ribosomal RNA". It matches the Rfam family "Bacterial small subunit ribosomal RNA", at positions 29 to 507 of the family's 1533-position model. The record is from RNAcentral.
AGCGAACGCUGGCGGCAGGCUUAACACAUGCAAGUCGAGCGGGCAUCCUUGUGGUGUCAGCGGCAGACGGGUGAGUAACGCGUGGGAACGUGCCCUUCGGUUCGGAAUAACUCAGGGAAACUUGAGCUAAUACCGGAUACGUGCGAGAGCAGAAAGGUUUAUCUGCCGAAGGAUCGGCCCGCGUCUGAUUAGCUAGUUGGUGAGGUUAUGGCUCACCAAGGCGACGAUCAGUAGCUGGUCUGAGAGGGUGAUCAGCCACACUGGGACUGAGACACGGCCCAGACUCCUACGGGAGGCAGCAGUGGGGAAUAUUGGACAAUGGGGGCAACCCUGAUCCAGCCAUGCCGCGUGAGUGAUGACGGCCUUAGGGUUGUAAAGCUCUUUUCUCCGGGACGAUAAUGACGGUACCGGAGGAAUAAGCCCCGGCUAACUUCGUG